AGCUCAACUCAAUUAAGCCUUUAUCCUAAAAAUUUGGAAUCAGCUAUAUGUAUUUGCUUUCUCCACUCUAAACGAUUUUAAGUUAAAUCCUCAAAAAUGUGUAAUGCUUCUAGGUCAAUUUAGGUCUAUCCCUUUGAACCAAUAUCUUUUGUUAAACCCAUUCUUAUCCAAUGAUCAUAUGCAAAGCCUUUGGUCUUAAAGCUCUAGCUUCUCUAAAGGAUAUUUUUUUUCAAUGCAAGAGGUGAGAGAAAUGUAGUUCUAAAUUGGAAUCAUGUUUCCAAUUAUUUCUAAAUUACAGAAAUGGCCCCGAAACAUUUUGGGCAAGUCUCCUUAAGUUUUAGUUGUGAGAUGUUUCCGAAACACAGAAACUCUGGUACCCUUUCAUUGCUUCAUAAUACAUUUCAAUGCAAUGCAAGGCAACAGCAGGUCAAGUUUCAAUGACAAAAUGGAUUUGGAAUCAACUUUUUGUGCAAUUUUAACAUAAGAUAUAAAAACAAUGUCAAUUCCUCAGCAUAGACAAUUCCUGUAUAAUUCUCUGUCCCAUAGUCUGUGGAUAGUAUGACAAAAAGACAUAUUUUACAUCUUGUAAACAACUUAAAAAUUUCUGUCCAAGUUCCAGACCAUACAAAUCUUCAACAUAUUUAUGUUUAAAUAGAGGGGGAAAGGGAGAACCUAAAGAUUUCAUUAUACCAAUCUCUCUGCAGCUCAAUUGGCUUUUUUGGAUCCACCAAACCAAUAAAAGUACAGAGAAUGGUUUAGUCCCCAUCCACCUCCCUGCCAAUUAAUGGAUUUUAACCAUGACUCACAUAAAAAGGUGCUCAAAACAGUAUGAAAAAUACAUCUAAUCUCAGUUAUGUGGUUACGUGUCCUUCAAACAACAAACUUUGUGUUGAUUUUUACACUUAAACAUCAACUGAAGCACAACUGAGACUGGAGUAAUGUAUCAUGCCGGUAGUUGUGAAUUAUUUCAGAUCACAUGAGAUGCAAGCUCAUCAUGACACACUGGACUGAAGUGCCUACUCAAAAUCCCCAAAGACAAUCAUAGAUCAUGGAAUCACAGACCAUUCAUGACACUGUAUCAUAUAUUCAUAGCUCCAUUAUUUUUCAAAUUGCAGCAUUCAUUUAUGUGCUUUAUUUAGCUUUGAUGGUAACAAUUCUAACUGUCAAUUCAUUUGACGAGAAACUAUGCUUGCAGUAGAAGCCUGAAAUGUAAUUUACAUAAAAUUGAAAUUUGCACUCUCAAAAUGUUUGACAGUAUGAACUAUUAAACCAGUAGGAGUUGGUUCUAGUCAUAGUCAAAAAGAACAUAAUUCUUAUUCAAACAAAAGAGGAGGGGAACUUGGGAAGUGUUGAAAAACGCAAAAGAAGAUGCUAUAAGCAAGGCGAAAAGGGGAGAAGAAGAAGAAGAAGAAGA
RNAcentral lists this unclassified non-coding RNA (1414 nucleotides) under Hevea brasiliensis (rubber tree). Lineage: Eukaryota; Viridiplantae; Streptophyta; Magnoliopsida; Malpighiales; Euphorbiaceae. The record is from RNAcentral.